This 433-nucleotide ribosomal RNA is filed under the name uncultured bacterium. RNAcentral's name for it is "bacterial SSU rRNA". It matches the Rfam family "Bacterial small subunit ribosomal RNA", at positions 355 to 803 of the family's 1533-position model. The record is from RNAcentral.
UCGGGAAUUUUGGGCAAUGGGCGAAAGCCUGACCCAGCAACGCCGUGUGAAGGAUGAAGUAUUUCGGUAUGUAAACUUCGAAAGAAUAGGAAGAAUAAAUGACGGUACUAUUUAUAAGGUCCGGCUAACUACGUGCCAGCAGCCGCGGUAAUACGUAGGGACCAAGCGUUGUUCGGAUUUACUGGGCGUAAAGGGCGCGUAGGCGGCAAUUCAAGUCAUCUGUGAAAUCUCCGGGCUUAACUCGGAACGGUCAGAUGAUACUGCUUUGCUAGAGUGCAGAAGGGGCAAUCGGAAUUCUUGGUGUAGCGGUGAAAUGCGUAGAUAUCAAGAGGAACACCUGAGGUGAAGACGGGUUGCUGGGCUGACACUGACGCUGAGGCGCGAAAGCCAGGGGAGCAAACGGGAUUAGAUACCCACGUAGUCCCUGAGCGGG